ACCUGGCUGGCUCAGUUGGAAGAGCAUGCGACUCUUGAUCUCAGGGUUGUGAGCUUGAGUCCCACGCUGGGCG
This 73-nucleotide transfer RNA is filed under the name Felis catus (domestic cat). It matches the Rfam family "tRNA". Rfam says of the family: Transfer RNA (tRNA) molecules are approximately 80 nucleotides in length. The record is from Rfam by way of RNAcentral. Lineage: Eukaryota; Metazoa; Chordata; Mammalia; Carnivora; Felidae.